RNAcentral lists this ribosomal RNA (482 nucleotides) under uncultured bacterium. RNAcentral's name for it is "partial 16S ribosomal RNA". It matches the Rfam family "Bacterial small subunit ribosomal RNA", at positions 28 to 523 of the family's 1533-position model. The record is from RNAcentral.
GACGAACGCUGGCGGCGUGCUUAACACAUGCAAGUCGAACGAUGAAGAAGAGCUUGCUCUUCGGAUUAGUGGCGAACGGGUGAGUAGCACGUGACUAACCUGCCCCUUUCUCUGGGAUAACGCUCCGAAGGGAGUGCUAAUACCGGAUACUCACAUCGAGGCACAUGCCUUGAUGUGGAAAGCUUUUCGGAAAGGGAUGGAGUCGCGGCCUAUCAGCUUGUUGGUGAGGUAACGGCUCACCAAGGCGACGACGGGUAGCCGGCCUGAGAGGGCGACCGGCCACACUGGGACUGAGACACGGCCCAGACUCCUACGGGAGGCAGCAGUGGGGAAUAUUGCACAAUGGGCGAAAGCCUGAUGCAGCGACGCCGCGUGAGGGAUGAAGGUCUUCGGAUUGUAAACCUCUUUCAGUAGGGACGAAGCGAAAGUGACGGUACCUAAAGAAGAAGCACCGGCUAACUACGUGCCAGCAGCCGCCGUAA